This is a non-coding RNA of Archangium gephyra, 71 nucleotides long. The record is from Rfam. NCBI's taxonomy places the organism in Bacteria, Pseudomonadati, Myxococcota, Myxococcia, Myxococcales, Archangiaceae.
AGGGACGUAGCUCAAAGGUAGAGCACCUGCCUGAUAAGCGGGAGACAGCAGUUCGAGCCUGCUCGUCCCUA